CAGCUAGCACUACUCACAUCCUGCAGGCACUUCAGCUCAUGUCCUCGAGCAGAAAGGUCUGCAGCGGGAGUUUCUCUUCUCUGAAUAGGCAAAGAGCUUGGUUAGUCAGAGUCUUCUGUUACUUUUCUAGAUACCCACUCUCACCGUAUCCAUUUUGGUUUAUUUGCUGGAGCACUUUCGUUGCAUCUGUAUUCUUGAUAGUUGUUGAGGAAGAAGAGAGAGGAACUGCAUGUGAAGUAUUUAACAUUAAAGAGCAUUUACACCCUUUAAUUUAUUACAAGAAGCUUUAAUAACAGUGUAGAUAUCCUAUGCUGAACUGAAGCCCUCCUAAGAAGUACAAAGAGAUGAAAUGUAAUAGGCUGUAUACAUAGUUGAAAUAUCAUUGCUACUUGAAGUGCAGCACUUUUACUGAGAGUGCUCUCUAAUCCAUUUUAAACUGAAUAUGAAUAGUUCUGUGAUAACGCCAUCUUUUUUCAUCACUUUGUUGUUUUCCUAAAACUCGAUCAUUGAUCAUAAAAGCCCCACAUUUCUGCUUGAGUCAGUUCCCAGAGGUGGUUUUGUAUUUGUUGUGCAUAUAUAUUUUUAGUUUUAUAAAGGUUCUUAAAGUCAGGAGUUUACUGAAGGCAAAAUGGAGGUAAAGGUAUGGUUAUUUACACCAGAAUCUCAUAGCAUUGUAUUUUUAGUGAUUACUAGAGAUGUUGGUUUUCAUUUUGCAAGAAGAGGCAAAAAGAAGUGCUUAUAAAACACUUUUCUUAUCAUGAUGCAACUGCUUUUUAUUAAAAAAAAAAAAAAAAGAACAAGCUAGUCAAUGAAAACAAAAAUUCUGCUCCUGGAAGCGUUCCUGAACAAGCACUGCCCCAUUUUUCAGAAGAGGGGCUUCAUCCACCCCCGUGAACUGCCCAGAGUCACUGAGAUUUAUUAGCAAGGUGAGUCGGCUCCUGUCAUGUGAAAAGUUAUUAAUGGCUUUGCGAUAAUUCACAUUAAUUGCAUCAUGUGAACUUCCAUUAUCACUCUCAUCUGUAACCUCCUAAAAAUAUCAAGGUUAUCAGUUAUUUAUAUUCUUCCUCUUAUAUCAGUGACCUCAAAUUAUAUCAUUGUUUUUCAUUCCACAACAGUUUUUAUUGUUUUAUAUGUCAUGGGAGUCAAAAAUAAAGCAAUAUUCUCAGCCAGCCCUAAAAUCUGGUCAGGUUUCAACUGCUUGUCUCUCUAUAACCCAGCUGUACAUUUAAAACCAUGCCUGUAAAGCAGCUUACGUACCUGUGUUUACAGCUUUUGGACAGCUUAGCCCAGCAGAACUCAUUUCAUACCGUUGACGUUGAACAGAUUGACAGCCUGCAUGGAAUGGGGACUAAAAUAAAGCUCUCGGUGAGCAACGUGACCAUGGAAGAUUCUCAGUUACUGUGAAGCUAGAUAUUCUUAAGAGCAGAAUAAAGAAAAUAUGUAUAUGAGUAAAAGAAAAUGUAAUAAUGCCUAACCAUCUCCUUGGCUGUAUGCACUGCAAUAAAUAGGCUGGCUAUUAGGAAAUGUUCUCUGAAAGAGACGUGAUGCACAGGCUGCCGAGGGAGUGAUGGGGUCACCAUCCCUCAAAGUGCUCCAGAAGUGUGGAGAUGUGACACUGAGGGAAUGGUCAGUGGGCAUGGUAUGGCAUGGUGGGUUAGAUUGGGGUUGGGGAUCUUAGAGGUCUUUUCAAAUACUAAUGGCUCUGUGAUUCUAUGAAUAACUUAAUGAGAGUCCUCUGCGAUGGCAAUAUGAUGUAUAUAAACAUCUGUGGUACUGGAAGAUUGUUCUUAAUGUUUUACAAAUAGAGUCUGGAAGGUAAAAAAUCCACCUAAUCACUAGAUAGCACUCCUUUAAAGACAAUUCUGAAUGGAAGAUGAGAUAGAUGGGUGUCUCAUAGAGUCAUGUAAUGGCUUGGGUUGGAAGGGACCCCAAGAAACAUCAAGUUCCAACUUCUCUGCUGUAGGUAGGGCCACCAACCUCCAGAUCUGGUACUGGACCAGGCUGCCCAGGGCCCCAUCCAACCUGGUCUCAGAGCCAUUCGCCAGGGAAACAUUCAGCAGUGCUGAGCUGUGCAAAGCGAGCCCAGCUGGAGUAGCUGCUUACACCUGUUUCUGUAAGUAUUGCUUCUGUAACACUUGUAUCUGCUACUGACACUAUGAAGGGCACAUUUACAUUCAAUGUUGCGUGAUUUGCUGCAUUUUGUUGUGGUACUGACUCUGGUACCCCAAGGGCUUAGAGGAGCAAAAUAUUUUGGAUUGAGGGACAAGUGUUUCCAACUGAAUGAGCAGAUGCAGCACCUGGAGCACCCCAGUGUGCCUCAAGGAGUAAAAGAUCCUCUACAGAGUCCCCUAAAGGUGACCAGCAAGAUGUGCCCAACAGAAAUGGGCUUCUGUCGUGGCUGGCACCGCAUAAACACCAAAUGAGAAGCAGCACCAUCUCUGCAUCCAAAAUAGAGCUGAUAAAAAAUAAGAAUGAGGGAGGAGACAGAGAUGAAAUGGGUUGGCAAAGCAAAAUGGAGAGCCUGAGGUCUCAUGCUGUGACCAUGUUGUUUUCCUUGUCGGUGGCACUAACAAAUACUUAGCAAAAGCAGUUACAUUAUUUACAAUUCAAAAAAUGAAAGCUUUAUUUGCCUUUAGUUACAAAACAUGAGACUGAAAAUUGAGAUUUAUUUAAUAAUAUGAUUUAUGCUCCCAUGGGAUAUCUGUAUUAAAUCCAAAGAAUUCAAUGUAGUAGGUGUAAAAAUAGAGAAUUAAUUCUGAGAUAAGUUCCUAUAUGCAGAUGAUAUAGUGACUUAAGUCAAAAUAGUUUUUAGGGUGGAUCUGGUAAAGAGCAGGGAAUUUGAUUUUUUAACAUCCGACAUCUCAAGAUAUGUAGAGGGGCAAACCAAGCACAGUGGUAAAGCUGUACCAGCUUUGGGCUGCUUGAAUCAGUGACAGGCUCUCCAACCCUCCCAGGGAAAGGCUGAUGUUUUUCCUUCUUGUCUGAGGUUAAUUCCCGUUCUCUCUUUGUGUAGGAGCUGCAGCAUGAUAUAGAGAAAUGAGCAGGAGGCAGUAGUUCUGCUUCAGAGCAGCUGAAAAGGGAUUUAUUUUCAUUAGAAAGACACUUGCAACCUCUAGACAACAAACUGAAGUUUGUGGUCAGAGCAGUAUGCUCUGAAACCCAUCGGAAUGGCUCUAUUCAGGUACUAUAAUUGUUGGAAUAGCCUGGAGUGCUUCCGUUUUCCUUUAUGGAAGCUGGUAUACAGGAAUCCAAACAAUGGCUAUCGCAAUGUCUGUGCUCAGCUUUGAUUUUCAGCUCUGUCACGUACUGUUAUUUCAUGUCUUCUCCUUAAACUUUUCACUUGAAUUAAAAAAAAAAAAAAAAAAAAAAAAAAAAGAAACAAGAUUUUGACUGAGUUUUCAAGCACUAUUACUGCUGUAUUGCAUUUCUCUUAUAUAACAGCGCCUUUUCACUGGAAGAUCCAAAUCCAAAGUUUGCAUCUGGGUAUGGUCCUGAGCUGAGUGCUUGAAUGGGAGAUGGCAGGAGAAGCAUUCCUUGCCUUCCUGCUCAGUGACUCAUUUGCACCAAAAGGAAGAAUAAAGCCUGGUCUGUUGUUCCAAAAAAGCAUCUUCCACAAAGCCACAGCUUCCACCAGUUCCAGUUGUUUCUCAAACCCAUAUGAACUUGUGAGAACUGCAGCAUUGCACAACAAGUGCUUCUGCAACUUCUGCUUGCUUAAAGGGAAGAAGUCCAAGUGAUGCUGUAUGCUGUGAGUAUGCUGUUUUCAUUAAAGUCCAUGGAAGAUGUCUCUGUGCAUGCGUGUAUGUCCAUAUAUGUAUACAUACAAGAUCUGAAUUCCCAAGGGCAUCCUUCCACAGAAUAUUAUAUAUAUAUAAUAAUAAUGGUUAUAUAUAUAUAUAUAUAUAACACUGAGUCAUGCAAUGUACCUAAUCACAAACGGAUGUUAAUAUAGACUUCUUUUCUCUAUGACUUACGAAACUAAGAUUUCAACUUUUGUAUCAUCUCUACUGAAAGCACAAUUUUAGUAGUAUGAUUGAAGGGGGGAGGGGAAAAUAACUGGAAGGUAUAUGACAAAAUUAUAAAAGCAUUUUUUUUUUUUCUCUGUGAAUUCUAGCAGAUACUGGGAAAUGACUUAUCUGGCAGCUGUAUAGUUUGAUUGUGUAUACUACUGCAAAAGGUAAUUAAGCAUCUGAGAGGGGGAAAAUAAAAAGAAGCAGAAUAAAAUGAGUGCUAUAGAUACUAGAAAGCUCUUUUAAAGAAUCAAUUAUUCUCUGAAACAUGAGAAGCUCCAUUACAAUGGAAGCAGUUGCUGGGAGCCACCCCACUAUGUAUCCAUUUCUCAAAAUAGUACAAGCGCUUCCAGAGAGAAAGCCAAGUCAUUCAUUAUAGAAUGCCCACAGGACAUAUAUUUUUUCCAAGUGAACUUUGCAUUCCUCUUUUGCAGAGGAAAGCAAAUCUGAAAUAAAGAGAAAUGCUUAGCAGGGAAACUACAGUGGCCUUAGAAGUUGCUAUGAAGCAUAGUAUUUAUGGGAAAUGUAGUGAUUUUUGUGUCUGUUCUGAUUAUUCAUAUCAUUUAAAUAUUUAUAAAUUUAAAAAUUCUUGCCUUUGUACCAAAGGGAAAAAAAAAGAAAAAAGAAAAAAGAAAAAAAACAUACACUGUCUCUGCAGGUGUAGCUGUAUAGUGUGAUACAUACAUUCCUUUAAACAAUUAGCCUUUAGUACACUUAACUUGCAAUUAAGUAGCAUUAAAGGACUGGAGAGGAAGAGAUCUAUUGCUAGAGACUGUUACAUGUGUAAAAUGGCAGUAUGGUAUGCAAAACUCUGGGUAUAAUUCAUGGAAAAGCAGCCAAUAUGUACAGUAAUAUGCUUGCAAUAUAAUGGAUUUCCCACAAGGGAAAUCACAGUUUUGCAAAACUGGCAAGCUAGAUACAGAAAAGAGCCUUUUCAAAGCUGAUUUUUUUUUCUGCUGUUAUUUUUUGCUAAUAAGACAAUAGAUUACUGUGUUAUGCUAGUUUAUAUUUUUGCUUCUAAACAUUUAACUUUAGUAAGGGAUUGGCAAAGCUGAUGUGAAGCACUCAGCAAGGUAAAGAGACUUUGCUUCUGUUUUCCAAGGGAUUUGAUGUCUGACAUCUCUGCAGAACUUUACCCUGUAAUGGUUGUCUUAGCACGUUGGAAAUCUGGCCCUUUGCAAGACGGAUUAACUCUGGACCUUUGCUUAACAGAUUAGUUUAACAUAUGAGAGAACUUUGAUCAGUUUAUGUACAAUGCGGUGGUCUCUAAUGAGUUCAUUUUUAAGUACUUCUGCAGCAUAAGCAGGGAAAUAACUUCAUUUUCUGCAGUGCUCUUCCCUACUUCUUCCUGACAUAAAAUGUUACCCCUCACUGAGAUGUAUUUUCUUCCAAAAGAUCAGUUAAUUGGAGCUAAGCCAACCACCCUAUGAGCUCAUUGCCCUCCCUCCAAGCUUCUGCUUCUUCAAGACUUCAGAACAGUCCUGGCCAGAAUUUCCUGGUAAUGUGGUGAGGCAAUGCACUUUUGGUAAUAAUACUGAGCAUCCUGGAUGAGUAACUCACCAAAACCAUAGCUUUCACUGCUGUGACUUCAUAUAAGACAAUCAUGUAAAAAUACAUCAUAAUGCUUUUGGACAAGUUUUUCAGCAAUUUCAGCCAGGCUCACAAACUGGAAUUUCUGGCUCUCCCCCCCCAAAAAACUCUACUGUCUACAUUUUUGUCUAACUGAACUUUUAUGGUGUAAAUCAUCCAUGGUGGUAAGAACAGUGAUGAAUCUAAGUUAACCUACUACCUUUGUAGGACAAAAUGACUGAUGUUGAACCAGGGACACCAGUUUUAGGAUUAAGAGGUACAGCAGUUUGCUUGGACCAUUGAGCUGGUUAUUCCUAUUUGUAACAACUGUUUUAGGAACAUCUGGAGAUGCACAGGAAGUUGGUUUACCUGUGGAAAAGGUGUUGGUUAACAAAGAUGUUUUUGCUGAAGCACAAACAGAUGGAGACUGGGGGAAAUGAUGUCACAGUGAAUUCAGCAUGGCAAAAUAGUGUUUCUCUGAAUGUUAUUUAUUUUUUGCUGGUUUGCUAAUGAGAGGUUUCUAGGUGAGAGAGUAGAAAGAGUAGAGAAGAAGUUUGGAGUGUUCACUGUAAUGAAAGACAUUCAUUGCAAUGAAAGGGGAUUUCUGACAUUAGUUUAUUUCUAGGCCAAAAGCAAUGGAGUAUGCUAUGAAAUUAAGGCCCCGUGAUUGUGUGCUUGGUUGUUUUGCUGGGUGUAAGUCAGCUCUCACAAGCCACUUAGAUUCAUUUCAAGGUUGUUACAAAUCUGUAGGAGUGAAUGCAUGUUGCUGAGUAAGCUGAGAGGCUUUUUUUUUUUUUUAAAGAAACGGCAUAGCCCCAUUCCAAAUGUUACUCUUGAAGGUGGCCUCAGAGAUAUUAGCCCAGAUUGAAGGCCGGUAGCAGCUCCUUCACAGUGAGCCCACACAGAUCCUAUUUUUGUGUCUAUUAGAGAACAGAUGUCAAGUGUAUGCAUCAGCAGAUUUAUCCAGACAUCCGUCAUCCCGAGCAGGAUGACUGGUGGUGACCUGAGGCCUGACAUCUGCCUGCUGCAGUGCAACUGAAAGACAUCAGCUUUCUUUGAGGAUGUGGAGACCACCUGAGCAGACCUGAAAUUACGAAGACAGGUGUCUGAGGCUUAACAGAUGAAAACCACUUGCUGAAAAUAAAGGUCAGACCAUGGUAGAAAAGAGGUGACCUCUUUCUCAGCUCAGUUCACCAACAAUAUCUAUGGGAAACAGCUGUGACAGUUCCCUUCAGCACAAUAUCCACAGGUCCAAGCUGUUAAAACUGUAGUUAGUCUGCCUGGGCUACUGCUAUCUGCAAUGCUCUUCACAGAAGUAAGCAUUCUGCCUGAGACUGAGCCAUGAGUGCAGUAAUUUUGGGCAAAUGUUGCAAAACUCAGAAGCAGGUAGGUAUGAAAUUUUCAUUUUUGUCUUCUUUUUCCUGUAAAGAUUAAUGGAUGUGUACAUUUUUAUUGUUUUAGGAAAGAGUCAUUAUAUAUAUAAUUGAAGUUUAAAUCUUCCUUAAAUUUAAUCUUAAUUGUAUUUGAGACUAUGGGCUUUAAGCAUUGCUCAACAAUCACCUCUCAUUUAAGUAAAUUGAAAAAGGUCAUGAUUCAUUCGUGUUGAAGAAUUAAGAGUGAUGUUAAUUAUUAAGUAAUUGUAGUUAUGGAAAUCAGGCUAUUCUCUAUAUCAACCUGAAACAAGAUUUUUUCAUUCUAGCCAAAGAGCAAGAUCUUUAAAUUGUCAAAUCAAAAAUCUCUUUCAGGAAUGGAGAUCUUAUCUGGACAGCGUCAGAUUAAAACAACAUAGCUGCUUUCUCCAGUUGACAAAUGCAAGAUUAUUCACAGCUGAUUCUUAGUCAGCUUCAUGAGUUGAAUAUCUGCCCUCUGUGCAUAAUAAGAUAUAUGGAUGAUCAAAGCAAUUAUAGUUUCUCUUUUAUCAUUUUAUUAAUUGAAUAUCAGUUAUUAUUUGAAUGUUGUUUUUAUUUCCUGUUAAUUAAUGAAGUUAGGUUUACUUGUAGUUAUAUGUUCAUUUAAACUUAAUCAGGUUAGUAAAUACGAUGGCAAAAUCUACUUCCCCUUUUCCCAGCUCAAAAUCAUGAGAUGUGAACAAUCGUUAUUACUUGAAAGGUGAUUCAGCCUCUGGGUAAGCAAAGCCGUUAUCGGGCCCUUCUGAUCUGCCUUACUUUUCUUGCUUUGCUACAGAAGCAGAAGUCAGAUGGGGAAAGCUGAAUGUGCAUGAGUCUCCCUUUUGCCAUUAAUUUUUGGGAAGACUUGCAUGUUUUAGCUGCUCUUUGUGCCUUUGAAAGCAUCAUUCAAACAGCUUCUUAAUUAAAAUGGAGAAUCAGGCAAUAAAACAUUGUAAUCAGUGCCUCCGUUCGUGAUGUGUCUGAGGUGAUACGUGCUUUGUGUUCAUAGACAAUAGAACUUUGAAAACCAACAAAACAGCAGAAAAUGUUAUUUAUUUUUCUGUCCUGCUCAGUGACCUUUGCUAUUGGUGGAGCCUCUGAAGUCUGGCAGAGAAAAUGAAAUCCAGGUCUAGUGUGGCUAAUAUUCAACUCAACAGCAAAAGAUAGAUUUUACAUUCUUCUUUUCUUUAUGCAAAAGCUGUUUGUUGAGUUGACAUUGUGAAAUCAGUCUGGCUAGUUGUGAAUGAUGUAUGAAAGAGGAAAAAAUCCUGCCCAGAGCCCAAAUAAACAGGUGCUGCAGUAAGACCAAGGUAGUUGUGCUAAGCUAUCCUAUUUGCUGUGUCUGAGGCUGGAGGCAUUUCUGGUGGUCACCUGGCCAACCCCUGUCCCAGCAGUCACAUAGUUAGCUCAUGUCUUUACGUGUCCAAGAGUCUAUUAGUUUAGAUUUUGCUCAGAGAACAAGUAGGUAACGUAGAUGUGACUAAAAUUCAAAAUUCCACCAAUUUAUUCCUUCUCCCUUAGUAUUUUUCUCUAAAGAUGGGAGUAUUUGAAUAAUUACAUUAAUUAUUUUAUUUUAGCUGUAAUUCUAAUUAUAGCCUUAAUCUUCUUGAGGAGAAAUAACUAGGAGGUAGAUCAAAUUAUUAUUUAAAAUUGAAUGUACAAAACUUUGUAGUCAAUGCGGAAUUUUUCUCAUUUCAGACAUGAAUUUGACUUAAAAUCACCUUAAAUAAACAUAAUCAAUAUUCACUCUUUAUAUCUUGUUAUAUACAUUACUAUUUUAAUGUUUUUCCAUCCCUGGAGGUUUUCAAGGACGGUUGGAUGAGGCCCUGGGCAGCCUGUUCAAGUAUUAGAUAUGGAGAUUGGUGGCCCUGCCUGAGGCAGAGAGAUUGGAACUUCAUGAUCCUUGAGGUCCCAUUCAACCCAAGCCAUUCUGUGGUUCUAUAAUUCUAUGAUUUUUAGGAUUCAAAGCUUGCUUGGACUUCCACAUACCCUUUAUCCGUGAUGAAGGUCAAAUGACCCUCAGCAGGUCAUCAGAAAGGAAUCAUCAAGACAAGUGGAAGAUAUUUCACGCAGGAGUAACACUGCUUAAAAUGAUGCUCCGUUCUUUUUGCUGAAGUACAAUGAAGGUAAAACAGUGAAUCACUGAAGUCCAGGACAAGUGAAUUGCAACUUUGGAUUCUGAACAACCUAAUCUUAAUGUCAUUCAUCGAUCAUGAUAAGUAAUAUCUUGGUACUGUAUACAUCAGCAAAAUUUGUAGAUUACUACUUAUUACAGACAUUGAAAUGCCCAUUUUGAUACAUUUUUCAUAGGUAUAUACAUGCCUCUUGUGGAUUUUAUUUAUUCACACCUUCUGUCAGUGUAAUUGUGCCGUAGUUAAAGUACUUGUUUUUCCUUCAUUCUUAUCCAGCUCAAUAGAUCAUGAAGGUUAAAGUAACCUUAAGCUACGUUUUACAAUUCUUUCUAGUACAUAAUUAAACAUUAAAAAAAUCGACAUUUAAAAAGGUAGCAACAUUCAUUUUACUACUGGAACAGAUGCAACAUGAAUUUAUUUAGUUCUAAAGACUGCUCUUAUCGAUGCCUAAUUCAUUUCUUCACAAUGCAGAAAGAUAGAGAAGUACACUUUUCUCAAGGUUACAACCACCCUAAUUCGUUCCAGGUUUCUGACUUACAAGAAGUUACACUUGCACAUUCAGUGAUUGAUCACAAUUUGCCAGAACAAGAUAGAAUUCCCCAUCCAUUCCUCGAUUAUGAUUUUUAAAUGGAUUACAUAGUAUAAUCUGAUAUGUACAUACUGCUCUUACAUUUCAAGAGAAUCAAAUACAGGCACUUUAAAGACAUUAAAGUCUACAUCUUGGCUUAUACAAAUAACUUCUUCAAAUAUCAUGCUCCUCACACAUUAGAAGUGAAUUUUCUUCAAUUUAUUCCUUCAAUAAUUGUCUCUAGAAGUUAAGUGAAAUCCAAACUGAAAGCUCAUGAUUUAUAUGUUGUAUGUUGGCAUUGUUUGUCAGUAUCUGUUUCAGCGCCCUCACUGCCUCUGCUUUUAUGGUGCCAAACUUCAGCUUAACUUUUGUCCUGUGUAUUGGUGUUUCUGAAAAUAUUGCUAGAAUGAAAAACUGAGAUCAGUCACAAUGAGUCUACAUGCUAGAGGAUAGUCAGAGAUCUGUACUUAAGUUCCUUUUUUUACCAAUGCAUGUUUUAUGUUUGUAUGUAUUUCAUGGUGCAUUUCUCUGUUGUGCCUAUCAAUAGAGUACUUCAAACCGGGACUAUGUGUGCUGGUUGGGAUCACACCACUGAAUAACACUGGGUAAAGACUCCUCAAAGAAUACAAGAAUUGUCAGAAGAAGGAUGGUUUGAUGGAUGGAGUAUCAAAUCUAGAUGAGAGCAGAACUGGGAAGCAAGGGAAAAGAAAUCUUAUAGCAAGCGUUCAGGAAAGAACAUUAUUUAUCACAAUGAAAAGGAAAAUAGCUAUGAAAAAUGAGAUGAAAUUAGGAAAGAAAAAUGGUACUCUGCAACCAUUCUUGCUGUAGCUAAAGAUAUUUCAUUUUUUCCUAUUAUUAGUCAGGAACAGUCUAUGUUCAUUUUAAAUGUAUAAUUAUUUUUGUUAUAAUAGUUUUGUAUUUUAUUGCGUCAUCUCCUUUACAGAACACACAGAAUAUCAUAACAGGACUCUUCAGUGCCCUGGAUGAACAAUAUAUUUACAGGAUGGGAAAGUGUAGAUGUCUGCCUUUCCUCCUUUGAAUGGCACUACUGCCUGUGUACUGAAUAAGCAGGGCUGACGGGGUUCACAUUAAUAGACCUUCCUUUUAGAGAGAGUAGUUGUGUGUAUUUCUGAUAAACAAUUAAAGAAGCUGUUUGCCAAGUAUUUCACUGUGCAAUAAUAGAUAGUGAAGGUGGAAGGACUGGAAAAUGACAAAGUGUUUAUCAUGUAGUGAGAAAGCCUAUGUGGUUCAAGAGGAGGAAAUAAUUGCUCCUUUUCUUUCAGCAUUUAUUCAAGUCAAAUGCAUCAAUGGAUGUUGCUGUAAAAGAGAGGUGCCUGCUUUGUUUAGGUAGGACAGAGGAACCCAACAAUACUAUGGAGCAAAAUGAGAAAUAUUAAAUAUGAAAACACUAAUGAGCUCUGGGUUAGUGAAUUGUGUGCAGAACUGUAUUUACUGUCCAAUAGUUUUUUUUUGCAUUGAAUAUAUUGACUGCUUGUCUGUAUCUGGAACUUAACGUUUUCCAGAUGGUACUUAAUAUAUCCUUAUUUAUUCCUCCUCAUCCAACAUUUUGACUUGAAAUGGAAAAACAAGCCUGAUGAUCUCCAAGCUGAAGGUGUGGUGGGCCACUAUACUGCCUUGGCUGAUGUUCCUGUUAUUCUGAGUCCUUUUGUGGCUUUUGAAAAUCCAGAAUAAAGUUAAGUAAGCAAGAGACUUGACAGCCCACAUCAGAGCUGCCAACUCCAGCAAUGAACCAGAUUUAGAAGCUGUUAUAUGAAGAAUCUACAGGACAUGAGAUUUAAAUGGUUUCUCUGAAUAAGUACCUUCUUAACUAGGGUCCUUGAGGGCAUGGAGAGACCCUCGAUGACAGGGUGGGAUUGUUUUUUCUUCACUUCACCGUUGCAGGCAGACAGCUGGGAGGACCAAGGAAGAGCUCUUGUUCUUUUGCCUGCUUGGAGGAGAAAGUCAUUAAGUGGAUUAUCUCACCGGAUAAAGGUAUGAAGGUAAGAGGAAGAAUGGUCAGAAGCCCUCCCACUGCUGUGGUCCUUCUGGUGAUGCCCUCAGCCAUCGCAUGCAGGAUCCAUACAAAAGGCAAGUUGGUCCUGGAGAUGAUUUCAACUAGCUCGGGAUUUUCUACAGUUUUCAUUAAAGGUCUGAGUGCAGCGGGGUUUUGAUUUCCUUUUCUGCAGCCAUCUGUAAGACUUGUGAGAACAGCUGCUCCUAAUGCGGGUGCCAGCUCCUAGAUUUCCUGGGAGAGAAGCUAACGAGGUUUACAGAGGCCUGUUUUUUAGAUCAACCAAAGAUUGUCACCGGUUAUUGCUUUAUUAAACGGGUACUACAUUUAUUAAAAAUUAGUAGAUAAACACUUGGAACAGAGUAAUGCUUGAAACAUUGCUACGCAGAGGCUGAAAAUUGCCACAGGGAAGAAAGUGUAUUGGAAGAGUAUGUGAUGAAGAGAGUUUCUGAUCAUAUUUUUUAUAGCUUAUUCGUGAUUUUUUUAAUGGAAGAGAGAGCAGGGGCAAGCUGAAUACAGAAGAAUACCUAAAUACCAAUAACCAAGAGUAUUUGAAACUGGUCUAAAAUGAAUGGAAAGGAUGGACGUAUCAUGUUAAACCUAAUAUAGUCAUUCAGAUAAUGGGAAUACGUAUUUGGAGUUAGCUCAGGCAGGAUCUAAUGGACUUGUGUAUUUGAACCAUUUAACAAAUUUUAAAGUUAAAUUUCAAGUGUUGACUCAUUGCUUAAGAACAGAGCAGCCUCGUCGUGUGAAAAUGGCUUGGUUCAUCACCUGAUGUUCCUUACAAUCUUUUCAGAUUGCUAUCUAUAAAAUGAUGCUGAUUCUUUUGUCCUGGUUUGGUUUUAAAAGACAUUUUCAGGCAAAGUGCUUUGCUUUGUAAUGCUUCUUUUUAUUGACUUGUUUAUUCAUUAUUCUAUUUAUGUUCAUUUUCUUUUAUUCAGGCAAACUUUCUUAUGGCUCUCUCCAAUUUAGGUAUUAUACCUAUUUUCUUCCGGUUCCAAUGAUAGUUGUUAUUAGUGUUUCAGACCACCAGACAGUAAGUUAAGGUUAUAAAUUUCUGUAAGUACAGUACUCCAAACUACAGAGUUUAAAGAUGAAACAACAAUAACAACAAAAAGAUACUGUAACUUCAAAACUUGUCCAUGCUCAAGUAAUAUAAGAUAAUGGUUUACACAGCAAGCUUCUAGGCUGAUUGUCCCACAGUUAAGAGUCCCAGUUGCUUUCACCAUCAUCAGGCUCAGUUAUCGAAAUCUCAUUAACUCUAAUGGCAGUUCAAGUUUUCACUGCUGCAUGUUUAAGUAGUAACAACAAUAAAUUUGUCAAUGUACUAUCAGAAUAAUUCACUGAAUUGUUAUAUAAUUGUAUUAGUUUGAAUCAAAUGUACUGUACUAUAAAGAAUUCAUACAUAUUAAAAUUUGACAUUUAAUUUCUGUUGGUCUUAAGAUAAAUAUAUAGAUGAAGAACAUUCAUGAAUGUUCUGUCUAUUUUAAUCAAAAUUCUCAUCUAGCAUAGACAUAUAUUUCCAUGAUACCAUAGCUGAAAUACAAAUUGUAGAAAAGAAGGUAAUAAUCUUUCUGGGGGUUCAUAACCCAAUUACUUAUGUCUUGCAACUCUCAAGACCUCCCUAUUGAACUGCUUUGGUUUCCAUAGCAGAAACUGUGCAAAGCUGGAUGUCUGUAUCAAAAAACUUAUAUUUGGAUUAUAAGAUAGAUAUUGCAGGAAAAGUUUUUGUAUAUAUAUAUAUAUUUACCAUUUUCUUUGGCCAUUAAGGCUAAUUUUCUCUCAUCACUCACUCAUAAAAUUAUCUUAGAAAUAGUUGUAACAAAUCUGUAUUUGAUACUGAAGUUGCCCAGAGGCUUGGAAAUCAUGCAGUGGAGGCAGUUUCCCAAAAGAAAAGAAGCCUUUUUCAAAUAGAGCCUCAAAUAAAGGUCAGACAGUUUCAGAAAUAUUUUAGCUAUUAGUAGAGAUGUUUAAAAGCUUGAAAGAAAAAUCUGAACUGACACCCCCAGUUUUUGGCUGUACUACAGUACAUUUUAAGAUGGUCUCAGUUUCAUUAAUGGUGUGUUGGAUAGGAGGCUAGAAGAAAUGAUGCAGCCAAAUAAUUAAUCUACCUAUAAUCUUGAAUGUGAUAAGUUGAAUUUUUGGAAAAAAAUAGUUUCUGUGCCUAGGUAGGAAACUACCAGUAGAGCAUCUUGUGCCAUAUAAGUUCACUGGUUUUCAUAAUUUGUAAGGAAUUGAGCUGAGCACUAAUUACACAGGUGUGAAGAGCCCAAAUGUCUACUUUUCUACAGCUGGUGUUCUGUAAGACCAUUUUCUCCAGAGACAUGUGAAAUUAUGCUGUUCUUGAUGUUGAAUUAGAAGUCCUCCAGGGAUUAGACACAUUGUCUGAGAGUAAAUGAGAAGAUAGCAUGGGUUUCUUCUCCAAGAGCAAUAGUCUAAGACAAAUAGGCUGUCAAAGUUUGCUGGCUCAUGAUUGAGAAGAAUGAAUGUUUUAAGAAAUAAUAACUAAAAAGCAAUGCAAAUAAACAACUUCUUGAAAAAAAUCCUUUACCUGUAACUAGAAUUAGAUUUACUUCAAUGAGCCUGAACAGCUUCUUUUGUUGUUAAUACCUACCAACUAAUUUAGUUGCUAAUACCUGUUAAUUCCAUUUUUAUCAGCACAGAAGAAAACCCAAAGCCCAUAACAAAAACACUGCCCAUAGCCACAUAAAUUCCCUUAUUAUCCAUUUCAAACUGGUUACAUAAAACUUCAAACACAAUGGAUAUUAGUAUGAAAUAAGAAAUCUACGUGACAGUCCAGAAGGAUUUCAACUGCCCAGUGCUCAGCUGCUCUCAGUCAAACAAAUGUUUUGGACCUCAAAAACAAACACUGGAGAUGGAAAUUGAAUGGCAAUGGAAAUCUGUGGCAGGCAGGAAUGACUGGUUAAACCUCUGACUACAAAGGAAAGCCAUAGGCAUGGAGGUACCUGCACAGCUUGGGCUUACUCUUUAGUGCAAAGUACUCAGUGCCCUAAUGGCAGAGGAAAUGGAGGAUAUUGUUUGCAGUGGGCUUCUGACAUGUGGCCAGGUGAUGGGAUGCUUGCAUGCUAGUGGCUUGGAUUAAGAUAAUUGGGCAAAAAAAAUUUAAUUACCUCAUGAAGGCAGUAGAGAGCUCUAUAUCCACAUCACAUUCUGCAAUUACAGAACUAUUUUCUCUGCCUUUUCAAAGUCACUAUAGAGCCAAGCCUAUUACAUCAGCAGCUUAUUUGUCAGCUUUCUUCUGUUUCUCAAAGUAAGGCAUCCUCCUAAUAUGAAUCUUCGAUAGAAGUGAACAGAUCACAAAACUCCCAUAAUUUCAUUGCGUUCCAAUAGCUCUUUUAUUUUGAGAAAAGACUGAAGCCUUUAUGUGGUGUGACAUGGAAAGGUUCCUCUGAACAAGAUUCGGCUGACUUUCUUAUGAAUAGUUACAGAUUUGUUUCACACUUUAUGUAUUCAUUUUGUCAAUUUGCUUUAUCGUGUUGCAAGAAAAUGCUAUCACCUGCCAAAAGCAUGCAUCUGGGAGUGUUUUCAGAUGAUUUAAUGUUAUCUUUUUUUCUAUUAUUGUUUGCUACUGCCAGGCAUUAUAAGCAAAACUGGCUCUAUUCACAGGUACUGACAAUAUUCUCUAUCCACGUGCACUCAGUUUUAGGAUUAUGAAGGCAUGGUAUUAUCACGUCCUAGAUUUAGCUGUGUUUCACAGUCCUUGCAUAAAUUCCUUUGGCAUUUCCAAAGCUGGGCAAGCUCCACUCUUCUCAAACUGAGAUGAAACAGGACCUUGGCCAGGUUUGAGCUUCUUGAGCUGCUUCUUGCAGCAGAACACCAAAUGUACUCUUGCAAAGGUGAUUAGGUGGAAAGAAUAAUUUCCAAAAUACACUGUGAUUUUUGUACAGGAAGACUUCAGAUUAGUACAACUGCUGAGCUACAGAGAUUAACAAGGCUGUGGAUAUAAACCUGCACAUUGAUGGCAGGCAAACAGCAGUAUUUUGGCUGAAAUUACUUUUCUCAAUUAUUUUUUUUUUUUCUGUAGGUGAUUCCACGGUAAUAUAUUCUGUGCUAGUUUCUGGCAGGAAACAAUAGAUGCAAUGUGGGAGCUUAAAGAAGAGAGAUGCUGGGAAGACAUCAUACCUUUUCUGACUGUUCCAUAUCACAUCACUCUGUUUGGAGAUACUGUGUUUCAUCUCCUACAAAGUAAAUUGCUGGCUGACAGCUGGAACCACCUCUACUAUAAAUUAUUGCACUCACAAGCAAGUUGGAUAUCUACCAUAGGAUCAUCAAACACAGAGGAGUUUGUGUUUACACUGCUGUAACCAAGCUGGGGGCUGGUUUCCAGAAUUACAGAGUCUUACAUAAAACAAAAUUUUCUCUUCAUUAAGUUCCAUGUUGACUGUCACAAAUCCUCCCUAUGAAUCCUUUCUAAUUCGUAUUUUGUGAGGGCGGGCUAGGACCCACAAAAAACAUUUACCCUAAUUCAUCUGCUGCGUUGUAAGGCUUUUAUUAGGCUUCACAAAUUUGAAUACUUUCAUCUGCGUUGUCAAGCUUCAUUCCCCACUGGUAUUUUUCCCUACAAAAUGUUGGUGAUGAAUAUUCACAAACCCCGGUGAGAGCUGUGCCAAAGACAUAGCUCAAAACAAUACAGCUGUAGCCAGAAAGCUGUACAGUGGGUGAACUGUUCUCAAUUCCUAUGCAUGUCUUCCAUCUCAAACCUUCAUCCUAUUUAAGUGCCUCAGGAAGAGAUAGCAAAGAAUCUCUUUCUCUUUUUUUUUUCUGGAAAUCAAAUACAGAGGACUUGAAAGAGAAAAAGUUAAGUAUUGUAAGCAAUCCAGAAGGAGCAAACCAGGACCCACUUAUGAAUCUCCUCCCGUAAGGAUGGCUGAAAACCUCUAACUUGUAAGAAAACUGUGAAUGUCUGAAAAGUCUUCUGAUGUGAUACAUGUUGUGUCUAAUUUAGGUGCCUUCUGAUAGGGCUGACUGCAUGUGGAAAUAGGAGAAAGAGUAACUGGAUAAUAUUCUACUGCUAGAAGAGGCUGAGGCUGAUCUUCUUCUGCUUGAAGAUUGAUAUGUGUAGGACCUGUGUGGUCAAAACACCAUUAAAAUCAUAGUAAACAAAUAAUAAAUACAUGUUUGGGUCCCUUACCUGCAACAAGGUGAGUGAGAGGAUGAAAUUUAUGCUAAUUCUUGCAACAUUGCCUUUAAUUAUUGUGAGCCAAUGUCAUCCAUAGUAUAAUCAAAGUUAAAAUUGUGUUAGAAAUUGCUUGCCACUUUUUACUUCUCUGUAUGUAUGAGUCUAUACAACAGAAUUCUCAUAAUACCUUAGAGGGAAAAAAAAAGCCAUCAGACAAGAAAUAAACGUGUCUUCCUCUUUCAUCUAAAUUUAACUAGAAAAGCAGUCUCAAAAAAAUUAGACGUGCUGAACUAUCCAUAGGAGAUUCCAAUCCAUUAUUAGCCUACUCACCCUGUUACUUAUCUUCAAACGCACACACCACCAACAGAAAGGAUUUAGGUUACAUUUAAGUAAUCCAAAUCUUGUAGGUAGUGGGUUUUAGUGAAACUGGAGCACUUGUUACUAUAAUUUAACUACAAAAAAACAGCAUUUAGUGAAGUAAGAGGUCUGACUUUAAUGCACAAAAGCAGGGAGUUUUGUGGCAGUAUCAGUAAGGCUGAAGUGUCAGUCUGGAUUUUCAGCCUUAAGUCUGAAUUUCCUUGGUUUUGUGGAUUUGUCAGAUGUUUAACAGAGCUUAAAUGUAAACUUUCUUCUUGACGACAUUCAAACCUCCACAAUACAGCCCUUUUAAAGAAGAGAAAAAAAAACUCUCACACAAACCAGGCAGAAUGACUAAAAUGGUGGGAUAUGUGAGGAACAGUUCAUUGUCCUGUGUGCUCCAAAGGGAUUUCACUUCUCUGUGCCUCAGUUUCCCAAACAAGAACCUGAAGAUCACAUUUACAGAUCUUGGAAAUGUCCUCAAUAAUGAGUCACUGUAAUAUUUGUGAAGUGGAUUAGCAUGCUUGAACGCAGAGUGUUAUGGAACAUUUCAGAUGGGAUUUUAAUUGCCAGUGACCAGGGAGGACCUCAACACAGAGUAUGUGUCAGCACAGUUCAUCCCUUCAGAGCAUCUUCAAUUAAAGUUGCUCAAGGAUAGGAGCUCUCAGAUUAUCAUUCUUGCCAGCCUGUUAAAGACUGAUAAAGGAAAAGGAGGACUGCACUUCUGCAAAAUGAAUAUUGGAUUAGAGGGAGCAUGUCUUGUUUUGUGUGUAUUGCACAAAUUGCAAUUUUCCAGAUUUUCCAGAUAGUCCAAAUUGUUUGCAAUACAAUUUCCUUUAUAAAGUGCACUAUAUAGAAGGAGGAAACAUCACUACAUGGAACAGAAAUGUGUUCUGGAAUGCCACAAAACCAUACUGUGAGCUGAAAAUGAAUUCAACAAUUACUGGGCUACAGCACACUUUUACAUUUAUGGCUUUGGAUGGGAGCUCAGAGUUAUCAUUUGUGCACGUUCUCUUGACAGCGUGCCAUGAGCUGCUCAGCCACUGAUUAACAGAGGUUACUGUGAGAGUCCUACCAAUUAAUAAAAAUAAAAAUCAAAAUUCAGUGGUCCAGCUGUCAUAGAUGGAGCUGCAUUUCUGAUGGCACAUUCAUUAGUAAAAGUGCUCUCAGUUACUACUUUCUAUGUUACAUCACGCUUGCUUGCUGAGAUAGAUUAUGAAGACAAAGUUCACUCGUUGGUGGAAUAAGUUACUCUAAUUUGAAUUUGAAAUGGAUGACAUCCCAUUAUUUAGCUUAAUCUAAAUUCAGAAAAAUAUGCAAUUAAAAGUGCUACAUUACCUAUACAAUUUAAAUCCUGAGCUGCCUGUAAAUAUCUAGCUCUGCGAGGUAAUAUUUGGAUCAUGUAUGAAAAUAUAAGAAAUAACCACUGAGGGCGACUAGACAGUAAAUGAUACAGAGGAUAUUAAAAAGAAUGAGAAAGUAUUUUAUUCCGGUGGAAAUCUAAUAAACAAGUACCAAGAAGGAGUAUGUCUAAUGAGAACUGAUGUAGGCGUUGAAAUACAUCACUGAUUCACUCACAUGCGAAACUUUACUUAUUUAUCAUAGUUUAUCAGAAAAGCUAUAGAGAGGAAGUCCCAAGGCACUGGCAAGGUAAUGAUGCUCUGUGAGAUGUGGAACCCCUGCAUGUUCUCAUGAGCAGUGCUGCUUCAUACAGGUGUGCCAGCAGUGCCUGACCAUCUGGGGCAAGACAAUGACUUGUGUUAUGAAUACUUCUUUGGGAAGUUCUUGGCAGAUUUAUUUCCUGCAACCAGACCUAGUCCUUCAGUUCAGGAGAUUAUUGCUUGCCCGAAGCUCAAGAGUUACAUUAAUUAUUCAGUGUUAACCAUUUGUGGACAAAAUCUUUACUUCCUUGUUCAUAUUUUUUAUACCUAAUGACAGAGUAAUGCUCUUUGGUGCUAAUAAAUGCAUGGAUUUUCUCCUGCAUUGUUCACUAUGAUGAAUGACAGACACUGUCAUUCUUUAUACUUUCAUUUCCAGAUAAAGCAUAUUUAUGAUUAUCUUUGAGCAGGUAGAAGCUUGUGUGCACAUUCUGCGUCCUGACACAACAUAAUGGUUAAACGCUUCAUGGACCUUUAAGACCUGUUACUUGGUGCAUAGCUGGAUAUGCAAGAGUUGGCUCAGUGGAUGCUAAUUUGAAAUCACUGCUCUCAAUUUUAUAACAGUAAGCAGUCAGCUAAUCUCACAAACAUCAGCCUUUGCAGAAGUCUUCCAUAUAUUUCCACCGCAAACUAGGAGUUUAAUAAGCAAUUAGUUGCUGAAAUGAUGCAUAGCUAUCUGUGGUCACCAUUUAAAGACAUUGCAACAAAGUCAAUUCAGAAGAAGAAAGUUGAGCUGGUGAAUAUUUCUAAGUGAAGAAAAAAAAAAACUUGAGCUACUUGUUGGAAAGGACAGCAACACAGCACACUCCCAUGAUGUCCUUGAGGAGUGGUGAUGGGAAACAAUAAAAAGACAAACACCAGCAGCAUUUUGUUCUGCAGAGGCUGGUAUGAAGUUAAUCAAAGCUUCCCAAAGACUUAUGUCCAAGGUGGCAGUUUCUCUUUGCAGUCGAGGCGCCAGAUCCCAACAUGCCAGAGGUUGUGCUGAAAAUCAGGACUUGGGGCUCUUCCUUUGCUGAGAAGAUAAAGUGGCAACUCUUGUGAAAUCCCACCCCUGCUUCACCAGCUGAAUGAAGUCCAAAAACUUGAUGCUUCAAACAUUUCACAGAGAUGGAAAAAAUACGAGAGCCAAAAAGAUUGUUAAAAAGAAUCCACAGUGAGGAAGACGGGAAUGCUAUCUGUGGUUCUCAUAUGAGGAAGAGCAAGAACAGAUGCAUUUUUUCCGCACACUCGGAACCUCAACUUGCAAGAAGUAGUGAAGGUUUGUGUAGAACUGGGGAUGACAACUGAACGCAAGUAGUCACCAGCAAAACACAGAAAACAUGACUGUUGGUGCCACAGCUUUGCCAGCUGGUAAGGGACUUUUCCAUGUCUCCACCUUGGAGAGAAGAGUGUGGUGUGCUCUGAUUUGAAUGAAGAAACAGGAUCAUUGUGGUCUGUUUUCCCCAUCCUUUGAGCCAUCCCAAUGCAGGAACCAAGAGAAGAAAUCUCAUUCUUUCUCUUCUGCCCUUGAAAAAGGAAUAGGUAAAAUUGGACUGUAGUCUUAGAAAAUCAAACCUCGCCUUGUGGAUGAAUCACUGCCAUUGAUGCUGGGAGAAGGGAAUGAAUAUCCCUCAAACAAAGGAUUUUAUAGGAUGCUAAUAUACAGGAUAGAGGAUAUGCCAAAAAUCUGUGUGGGUCAAAAAGUGACUGGAAGGAAGAAAAGAAUCCACCAAAGAAAAUCCUUAGAGGAAAAUUCUGUCACAUAGAAAGAUUUCACCUCAGCUUCAGCGGAUCCUUGAACCACAAAUAGCUGCAGGCUGGGAAAGUAUUCUGGGGAAUAUGGUUGUGUUCUGUAAAUAUUGGCUGUGGGCAAUGUUGAAGGACGUGAGACUACGUGCAUGUUCAUUUUGAGCUGGACCAGCCAUUCUUGUGUAUCUGUUAUUUGUGUGUUUUCAAAAAGAAAAAAAAAAGAAAAAAAAAGAAAAGCUCUCUGAGAGACACUUCUCUCUUUCUAUUUUUUGUUAUUCCAAUCCAGUCUGUUUUCGGGGCCAGGGAGGGAGACACUGGAGGAUCUCAGUGCCCCUAGGCAGAUGGCGAAUGAGGGAGAAGUGCCUGCGGGGCUGAGGCUGGCGGCGUCUCUUUCAGACCAACAUGCCUUGGUCCCCCUGCAGCUGGGAAGAGCACAGAGCUUGUUAGUAAGGUACAGGUGUCAGCAGAUAAUGAACAGGAUUGUUGUAAAAAAACAAAACAAACAAAAAAACAUGGAAUAAGAAACAAUUUAUUUAUGAUGUAUUGACAAGGAUAUGGAAAAAAUCCCAAGAGACCAUAACAGGAAGACACAAUAUCAUGGCUAAUAACAUGCUAAAUAAAUUUUAUUUUAUGAUGAAACCUCCCUAUGACUGGAAAGGUUGACGUUCAAAACAAUUGUGACCUGUGUGCAGCACAUGUAGCAACAGGCAUGGCUCCUGCCUUCUCGCGGUGGGGCUGUCCAAGAAGCACAACGAUGCCUUUGGGAAAUACAGCUGCAGGCAUGAGCUGUGUUUUCCCCAGUAGAUCAAUUUUUCUAACUUUAGAACAAUGAAAGAGGCAUAACAUAUUAUAAAUUGAAAUUACCCUGCAUGGUUUUAACUGUGCAGUUGGCAAAGGUCAUUAAGUAAUGUCAUUCCCAGCCAUACGCCACAGGGAGCAAUCUAUCAUAUAUUAUCUAGCAUUCUGAUGGAAGUAAAAAAUGAUUAAUUUUUACCAUCUCAUGUAUAAUUUACUUAUUAAUGUUCCUUGCGAGACAAUCUGGUCUUGAUUAUUUGGCUAAUGCAUACUGAAUCUGAGCUUUGUAUUUUUCUUUGAAGAGAUUAGGGCAGUUAUUGUUUUUUUUUGCGAACCAUGGACAUUUGAGAUCCAGAGUAAUAAAGUAGGUAUUGAAUAGCAUUCAAUAGAAGAGAAAGAAAAAUAUAAUGCUGAAAUGGAUCAUGACUGUUCAGGAUGCUUAUGAGAUUCUCACACAUCCCAUCCCAAAGUGCAAAAGUAUCCAUUCACCAAAGCCUAAACUGAGAUGUCUUUAGCUUUAUUUUACUUUCUCUAGUUUUUGUUCAAGCUCUAAAAAACAUUUCAUUUUAUACUUGAAUAUAAGCAUGGUUUAGUCAGAUUACUUGAGUUUUCAUCAAAACAAGCAUGUAAUAAAUUAGGACUUUUUCAUUUUAAAACCUGAAAUGCAUCCUGGUUGAUAUGAGGACAAGGACUGUGUGGUUGCUGAAGUAUGUUGUCAGUUUUUGGCCUUCAAGGGCUAAAUCAUGUUUUGAGAUAAAUGAUGCUCUUCAAAGUAAUCCAUAUUGAGUACUGUGAGUUCUACAUAGUUUUAGUUAGAGUUCAUUUAUAAUAAUAAGAAGCACCUUAAAUUUAAUAUUAAUUUUUUUUAGCUGUUGUUCAUAAGGCAGCUUUAAAAUAUAAAAUACCUUAUUUUAUAUUUGUAUUGUAAUAAAAGCCACUGAAAGACUAGGAGAAGACACACAUCUGUAAAUGAUUAUAUGAUCUGGCAUCAAUACCUCUCAGAAUUUGUCUUGUGCUGUUUCAUAUUUUGAACUUUCACUUUGCAAUUACACUGUCCCUCUGUCAGGCCUGGCAGAUCAUGCUUCAUGUGCAUGAGGUUUAACUCUGACUUCCACUUCAAGGAUACUAAGUUAUUUUUUGUUUCUUUAGCAUUUUACCCAUACCUGAUUUCACUAAUGGCUUAAAAAAAAAAAAAAAAAAAAAAAAGUUUCUGCUUUUUUUUUUUUUUUUCCCUGAUAAAAAGGUCUAGAUCUGUAUCAGUAAAAACAUAUUUACAUAGUUAUGCUGAAUAAUCAGUAGCGUCAGCCUCUUUGGAAAAGAAUCAAAAUGAUGUCUUUCCAAAUGACACAGAUCAGCAAUGCUUCAAAAGAAGAAUUUGUUGAAUUUCUACCAGGAAGUUUUCUCAUGUCUCUCCCACUCCUUAAAUCAAAUAUUACACAGCACCAAAGUAUGUCAGCCCCAGCAGUCCCGUAAGAUGAAAUGAAAAGCGUAGUUAUCUGCAGAACCUUCAAAACACAUGAAAAAGAAUUCAUGGUUGAGGUUGUUCAAAGGAGGCUAAAGGAGAGGAGGUGGAAGCAGUUGGGUGCAUCCUGCCCUGAAAAUCCUCAUCUACAGGUUGCAGUACUUUUGAUAAUGAUAUUACUCUAUCUUCAGGAGCAGAUUAAUUAUGUGCAGUUCCCAAAAAGAUUUCUUGUACUUACUUUUUUACUGCAUCCGAAGUGGAGAACUGACUGGAGACCCCACGGCCAUCUGAUUUCACCAGUAUGCAAAGAAUAUUUUGUACCAUGAAUAGUGUUUAUCUUAGAAAAAGAAUGAUCUACAUAAGGGAAUGUUGAUUUUCUUAGAGCUGCUAUCAAUUUUUUAAUUUAAAAUAAUACUUCUCUUCAAUUUUUAUUGAUAACUGUCAUCAACUGCAUAUGCAGAAUGGGUCAGGUUGUGUAGAUUUUGAAAAAUUUUACUAAGUGUGAAAAGUUUUGUGGUUUUUUUUUUUUCUGUGGCCUAACACUGUACUCUCCAGCUCAUUAUCUGAUCUCCUGUUGUCAAAGCCAAAGAAUAUCCCAUCAGCCAUUUUUCAUUGCUCCAACACAUCUACAUUUUCAUGUUCUUUCUUCCCAUUAAUGCUUUUUUGUUGUUGUUGUUGUUUUUUUUCCCAAAGAUAUGAUAUUCUCACACACUUGAAGUUCAGUCUCAUUCACAUUUUUAAUGUCUCUGAUUUUCUUCUUAUUUUAUUUCUGAUCAUCUGGUUUCACUGGUGGUGUUCACUGCUCACUCCUUUCCCCCAUAUCAUUAAUGAUGAUACUACAACUGGAAAUAAUUUAGCACUCUCAUGCACUUGUAGUUGUGUUUGUGAUACAUAUGUAGGUGAUAUUUACUUCUCAUUGGAGCUUCUUCAGUAGGAGCUGUGACACCAACACCAGUAAGUGUUGGCUUAAGUCUGACCCAUAAAUUAUCUGUUUCCACUUCUUUUAGAAGUAUGUUUUUACAUUGGCUUGUGGGCAAAGUAAAAGCCAACGAAACAGCACUCCUUUGUCUGCCUACCUCUGUCUUUCACAUGUAGACACAGCCCUUUUCUGACUGACAUAUGUGAGCAGGUGAUGGAGACAAGAGGCAGACUGUAGAGACGGUUGUAACUUUAUACUCUAUUUAUCCUACUUCUAUUCUCUCUUAGCUAGGUCCAGCAUGAAGCUCCAAAACUUCUAAACCCUGCAGAUAGAUGGUCUUCAGAAUAUGCAGUGGAGUUUAUCCAGUUUAACUCAGCCCAGCUGAUGCCAGCAGGUGGAGUUUCGCUGUGAGGUUUGUAAAGGCCAAUGCCAUCUUAAAGUAGACUGUCUAUGAAACGGUACUGAAUGAAGAUACAAAUGUUUAUUUCCAGUUUGUGCUGGUAUAAUUUAUCCUUCGGUGCCACAGCUGCACCAUUCCCACUGGUCACUGAGGUCCUAACCAGUGCACUGCUGUGUGCAUGAAGUCCUGCUCUUAUCUGCUCAGUCUGGUAACUGAAAGUGCAAAGUGGCAAUUAGGUUCACCAUUAGCCCAUCAGCAAGUGCACAUUCAGGAUCAGAUCUACGUUUUGCAUGCCCAAGGCUGAGAGGUGCCAAUGGCUCUCCGUUACUGCUGGACAAGCAGUUAUGAAAAGUUGGCAUCCACAUAGAUCCGUGGCCGUGACAUGAGGAAACCUCCGCCACUUUGGCAAACAGCAUGCAAGUCCAGCAUAGGCCAUGGACCUUGUACAAUUGGGCUUUUAUCCCUGCUAAACUCUUAUUCUUCAGGUGGAUAAUUGUAUUGUCCUCAUCGGGAUUGUAACGGGGCUACCAGAUGAAUAUCCAGCUGCUUCCAUCCCUUUGAAGGAACAGUACACAAACCUGCAGCCUUAGCUCCCACCCUUACUACGGAAGGGGCUCAGCAUUCAGUCUGUAGGCAUAGCAGCAGAUUGGCAAGGUGACAUAACAACUAUUUGCAAGUCUACGUGCUGUCUGAAGUUACCAAAGUAAAUUGCACAGCAGUCUGCUUGGUAGUCCCUAAGAAGAUAAAGUGGUCAGUGCUGCUCUGCUUUGAAAAUAUCAGCCCUGCUUUGUGCAGAAUAUUGCAGACUGGCUGAAAUGUUGCCCAAGCAACAUCCACUCUUCAGCUGUACUUCUCACAGUGGCUUAAGCUGAAGAAGGAACAAGACCCAAGGAAGUGUUUGGAAAUCUCUCUUGCAUCCUCCCAGUCUGAGACCAACCAGAGCAGCUCCUGUUUGCAUUGGAUUUGUACAUCGUUGUCAUUGGAAGAAGAAACAUUCCAGUGUGAGAGGGAUCCUCAGCUGGCAAAGCUGUAUCUAGCAGAGGGCUUUGAACAAGCCCCGUGCAACUGAGAAAGAUGUUGGCUGAAAUGAACUGGAGGUCUUCCUCUUUAAUAUGGAUGUUAUGCUUGGUGCCAUGCAGACAGCGCUGGCAGGAGGACGAUUUCAGUCUCUGCUACAUCAAUAAAAACAAGGGGUUGUUUAAACUUGGUGUUGACACAAAUAAAAUAAAAACUGAGCUGUUAUUUGGUGUCUUCGUGUACUUUGAUGGUGGUUCAAGGGGGUAAGGAAGCUGCUGGCAGCAGGGGCAGGCAUCAAAACCAACACAACACACUGCAGUAUCAAUGCUUGAAAAGGAUAAAUAGACACCAGGAGGGCAGGGGCCAACCUCACGGCCCGUGAGGCGCUGAACCGUGCUGAGGCACUUUAAGACCUGCAGUGCCCCACCCCAACUGUUAAUGAGCUCAUUAACAGCCACUGCCCCUCUCUCCCUCAUAUCCAGCUCGGGGCAGUGGGGUUCAGAGUGAGGAGGGAUCACUUCGCUGUGAAGAGCUGUGUGGACGGGAGUCUGCCCAGGAGCCCAGGGAUGAAGGAAAUCUUGGACAUCUUUUGUUGUGUCACCACUUGUUAUCUGCUGCUAGCUGGUGUCGGGGGACUGAAAGACAAGAUAACUGACAUGCAGAUUUGAUGAUGAAAACUUGUUGAUGUACUGCAGCAAUAUUUGAGGCUAAAAACACAGAUGCUGAAGGAAUCUCUCUUGUGUGCACUACCUAGUUGUCAUCAUGGUGUUUAGAAAUCAUUUGCAGAAUGUUCUUGGAAACAUUCAAGGUCAGGCUGGACCAAGGUCUUUUCCCCCCCGUUCUUCCCUUGUGAGACCCCACCUGCAGUACUAUGUUCAGUUCUGGGACCCUCAGCAGAAGAAAGAUGCAGAGGUGAUGGAAGUGGUACAGAGGAAGACCACAAAGAUUCAGUUCUGGUACUUAUGAAGUUUAGAAUUGUGUGAGUGUGCCAUCAGUUAACCAUAACAUGACAAUGCCUGAAACCUUUGGGAACAUGUGCUUGUUGAUUAUAGAUGUAAUCAGUGCCACAAAAUAACUUGCUCUCAAUAUUUUCUGUCAGUAUCAGUUACUGCAAUUAUUCUUCGUGGAUUAAAAAUGCUUGAUAUAACUUUGGGAAAUGCUAAGGAUCUGGAGAAAAUAAUCUGCUUGAAGAUUAUGUUAUGUUAGCUCUAGCUCUGCUUUAAUGCUUAAUAUUAUAAAAGAGAAGAGGACCAUUAACUUCAGAGGAAUUCUUCAUAGUACUUGACAUGUGGAGGAGAGGUGAAAGUCUGUGAAUAAUUGCAGUCAGCAGUGAUGUGCCUGUCCUUUCACUCUUAUUGACAAGAGAGGAUUUGAGGGACACUUCUAUUAUCUGCAACUCCAACUAUUCUAAAGGAACUGCCAUAUAUUUUCCCAGAAUCUCUCCAGUAUGUCUCCACUUGCCGUAGUUAUCGUUAAGGCUUCAGUACUGGGAGUGAGAGCCACCAAGCUCCAGGUGGGAUGUAUUGAAAGCUUGCAUGCAGCUGAAGAGGCUGUGAUAGCCAAUGUGGCUGUGACCUCUGCCCUUGCCAAGUGAUUGCCUUGGUCACCACUCAGAUGGACUGGGGUCUCCUGAGAUCCUGGGCACUGCUCACGCUCCAGUCCUGUGGAAAAGGGGCUGGGUGGUGAACCUGAAGCAUCAAAGGGAAGCUGUAGGCUCAUGAUCAGGAAUAGCUCUGUAAUAAUUGAAAUAACACCACAGCGUUCUACAUUUCAUUUUUUUUGCUCUUCAAAUGUAGCCACUUAUUAGAUUGAAAGAGUUACUUCAGUAAAACCAGCCCUGCUAACUCAUGCUUAGAUCUUUAGCUCACACUUGGAUCUGAAAGUCAAAGAGUUUUCUUUCUGGUGCCCUGUCAUCAGUAAUAAAUGUUUUGCAACUCCUAACUUGCACCUUUCAUGGCCUCAUUGCCUUCAGUGGGUUGAUCAGAUAUAAUUAAUUCACUUUGGAGUUGUUUAAUGAUGCAUAAAAAGGAAUAGAUUCUAGUUCAAUCUCAUAACUGCUUUGCCUCUGAAAUCUAACAGGAUUAAAGCACCAUUAAAAAAAUCCAAGUCAUUCUGUGAGCAGUGAAACUAAUGAAGCCAGGAUUCCUAUGGAUUUGUGUCUCUUGGUUGAUUGACUAUUUAACUGAUUUAUAUGAAGAUUAUGUUAUCUCUGCAUAUACCUAUAAUCCCUUCCUGUAGAAUAUUUUGGCAGUGACACUCUGGUUGCUACAGAAAUUCCCUAGUGGGAUCAGUAGUUAGUAGGAUAAAAUUGUUCAAAACCUUUCUCUUUUUCCUAAACCCCUACUUUUGUAAAAUCGGAACAAUUUAAUUCUUUCUUUGUACCUUUUGCUGCUAAGUUUUACUGGGGAAAAGCACAGGUAACCAUACGCUUGAUAACAAGAAAAAAAAAAAAAGAAACAGACCAAAAAAGUAAAAAAAAGUGUGUAUCCUUCAAUAUAAUCUACAGAAAAGUGAGAAUAAUGAGAAGCAAUCCAGAGACAUCUCACAGAGCAAUCUUGAAAAGAACCAAAAGGAUGACAGUAUUAGGAAGGAAAUGCUUAUGACUAAGACAAAGAACACUGUGCUAAGUCAGAUCAAGGAACUGGACUACAAACCCACAUUUUUACUUUUACAAACUCUGUUAUUUUACAAACCUUUGGGAAAUAGUUCUGUUCAAAUGGAAGUGGAAGCUUUGAGUUUGCACCAUGCAUGCACUGAAUAGCCAACAGGUGUGGGCUUCCUCUCUGAGCUGUCUAUAGUAGGACAUUUUUAGGAAAUACUGAUUAGAUCUUUGUUCAACUAUCAGAUUUAUUUGAAAUUGGCCCACAGGUUCCACAGCCAUUACCAGAACAUUUUCACAAGGUCUGUUUAUCAAAGGAGGAGGGUACAUCGGCUCCCAGUCCCUCACCUUGCAGGUCUGCAGAAGUGACUGUGCCCAGAGGAGUGAGUUGGUACUCACCUUUGGUGGCAGCUGCACAGGUGAAGCAAUAAGAGCCUUCCACCUAAAAAAUAAUUAAAUUCAGAAUACUAUUUGUUAGUUUUCAAAGUCCAAACUCUUAAAAUAAGGCAGAGGCUUAUAGGAAUCAUUAGAAAUACAUGAACUAUUUAGUCAUCCUGAUUCACUUGGCAAUGGUGAACCUUCAUCUGUGAGGCUAUGCCUAUGUGGGAAUAGAGCUAGCAUUUAUUUCCAUAUGAAACUUCAGAAAUGCUUCCUUUCUCUAUGACCUUGGUCUCAUUCUCUAGACUUCAUUUGUUAUCCAAACCAUACCUAGCUGCCACUGCUUCAGUGUUUGAAAAUUCUUAUUUUAAAUAACUGUGCUCUUUUCUACAACUGAGAUAUUUUUAAAAAGGAAUGAUUUUCAAUAACUUCUCAUAGACACCUAUUUAGUUAGAAAAUUAGGUUUAGAAUUUGCAGAAUUGCAUAUAUUUCAAAAGGGUUUCUUACCAAAAUCCGUAGGCCCCAGAAAAUACACCAAUGCACCUGCCUGCGUGUUUACCCAGGAUGAUAGAAACUCUAUUAUUUGCAGUUUUACCAGCUGUAGGGAAUGGCAAGGGCAGACAACCAGUUCUGAAUUAGACCUCCCCCCCCAAAAAGGGCAACGGUCACAAUCCAGCUAAAGAAUGAAGAAUUUACUCACCCAUCCCAAACGAUAAGGGCUUGACAAAUACUCUAAAAGGAAGAGUCUCCAGGUAGAGGCCCCUUCCUUGGGGCAGCCAGCCCUCAAAUGAGGCUUAGAGAGGGCUGGAACCUGGUUCUACCUCUUCUAGUCACGCAGAUGAAUUGCUUUCACCUGUGCUCCCAGGGCGGGCUGUGUCCCUUGACCAGGUGCUCAAUUAUUGGCUCAGGCCAUGACUUAGCAAUUCCCAUACACCAUCUGUAAGAGUAAUGCAUGUAUAAUUCGAGAAUGUAAUAAAUCAUACUUUAAAUGUCACUUAUUGCUCGUUAAGUUUUAGAAACCUUAAGCUACGGUAGUUCAAAAAUUCUCAAGGCAUUAUAAUUAUUGAAAACCAAGAACCAGGAAAACCAGGGAAAAAUCCAGUGCCGGGGCAUUCCAUUAAUCUACUCAGUUUCUCACAAUCAAGAACAUGAAAAGAAUUAAUGCGUAUGUGUUCAUUAUGGCCUGUGUAAAUACUUUAUUUUGUCUGUGUUAAAAAAUCUUAUCCUUUUUAAAAUAUAUUUUUGGAAUUCUAUAGCUAGUCUUAAAUGACACUUCUUCAAAUUUAAUAAUUCAAAUCCUUGCAUAUUCCAUGACUCAAUAUAAGAGACUUUCCAAAUGAAAACUUAACUAGAAAAUGAAUCAUAUCAGAAUAAUGUACUUUAUCAUGUAUAUUCUGGAUAUUGCAGUUUCAUUGCAGUUACAGCAGUCCGUAUAUUUGAGCUGUUUACAUCCAACUGAUGUAAUUUGGAGAACAUUUUUGCAAUUGCAGCUGAGACUAGAACAGGCAGCACGUGCUAAGUUCAGAAUCAUUCUUCCAUUUUCCUACUUCUGAUUCUUCAUAUAGGAGAUCUUUAGAUUGCAUUAAUGUGUCUUUUGUUCAACUAGAGGAAAAUUCAUUACAGUAUAAUUCAGUAAAAAUGGGUAAUUUUAAUCAACUCGGUCUAUUUCUCCUAGGCUACUAUAUUAUGAAUCAAUAGCAGUAAAUCCAUAGUUAAGACUCACAAGCCAUUGAGUAAGGAUUCAAUGACUUCUCUGUUUCAGGGUCUUGCAGAAAAUUAUGGAGAAUAAGUAAUUAAAGUUUAAUGUCUGACAUUCUUCUAGUCAAAAGAUGUUUUGUAUUUCUUUCAAAAAUCUGCAAUUAAAAAAUGCCAUAUAGAGCUUGUGACUAUAAAUGUUCAGCUAAUCCAUUUAUUUAUCCCUCCCUCAUUAUUUCUCUGCCCCUCUUUUAAUUGGCCUUUCCUCAAUGUGUAUCUCUGUGAGUGAAAUGCAAUGGUAGAAUUUCUGGCUUAGAGGCAGGAGGUGAAAUACUGUUCAGUGGUGGUUGUGUAAUGAUGAAUCUGUGUCCUUUAAUUCCAGUGCUUGAGGAAGCACUCAGAAGAGUGAUAGGUUUCCCUGCCAGACAGGAGGAGCUAAAAGCAUCUUUCAAGAUAUAUAUGUAAAUAUAUAUGUAAAUACUAAAAAUGAAACAUUUUGUGUUUUCUAUAUAAGACAAUUUCUGGGAGAACAAGUAGGUUGGUGUAAACUUGGUGGAACUUUAAGUGAGACUGGGGAGAACAAAACCUGACUAAAAUACAUAUCUUACAGAGAAUUUCUCUAAUUAAAUUGAGAAGUUGGCACAUUUGUCAGUCUUGAAAAUUAAAAAGAGAAUAAUUUAUGAAUCAUGGUAAUACCUGUUUAAUGUUACAAGUUUGAGAUAAAGCAUUUCCUAGACCUUCUGAAAACAGAUUUCAAGAACUGGGACUUGGAAUUCUUUAAAGCAAGUAACAUGAAAUUAUUUUAAGGUUACCAGCUUUUAAUGAUGAAGACCAGGGCAGUGCAAGAUGGACCAGUUAUGUUCUGUGUGUGUGUGUGUGUGUGUGUGCCCAGCAAGCAAUGAAUGAGUUGGACUCAUUGCUUAUGCUCAGUAUAACCACCCCCUUCCCAGCUCAAUUCAGAAACAACUACUUGUAAUUAAAAAAUAGAUAAAGUGACAUUUGAAAAAAGUAUAGAAAGAAAAUAGAACUGAUUAAAAAAUGGCCACCAUUCUGAUUUUGUUAGUAUAAAUGUUCUGUCAGCUGGGAGAGGAAACACUGAACAUCUCAUCCUAUAUUAAGAUGAGAAUCUUGUUUUCCAGUAGCUGGCUAAUAUUUAGCAUUCAGAUAUAAUGUUUUCCAUCUCAAAAGGGGAAAAAUUCUUAACAGAUUCAUAGACAUAUCUUCCUCAAAGUCUAUAAAGAAACUGAAAUUCUAGCAUCUCUACCACCUACGAAAAAUGUAGAAUCCUGGAAUCUUAAGAAAAUCUGUUUGACUGCAUACAAGUAAAUAACUUGCAGAAAUAGGAAUAUUGCUUUGCAGCUAACCGUUUUGAUCAUUUUUUUGCGUGUCUAAAUAUUGUCAAAGGCUUGCCUGUGGUGUUAAUUGUGGUAUAAAACAGGGCCAUGUGACUUUGUAAUUUAAAUAGUGGGCAAAUGGUGAGUGUCAGGAAGAGCCCUUUGGGUUCCUCUGAAAAUGAUUUGCAUUGCAGGGUGGUCCCGUAGCAAAGGCUCAGCUAACAGUCACACUGUCCCAGUGUUCAUGAAGUCCUUUGAUAAAGAUUCACUGGCUAGGAUGAAUUAGGGACAGGCGGUAUUGUUUUCAGCCUAAUAAAUCAUGUGGGGAGAAAAAAGUCAGGAUCACAGUUUAUCGGUAGAAUUAGAUAAUAACAGAACUAUAUACUAGAGAGUUUAUCAAACUCUAAGAAACUGGAAGUCAAAGUAGCCUGAUAGGCGGGUAGCAAUAUUUUAGAAUAUCUUUGAUACAAAUUCAAUUCUGCUGCUCAAGUGGAAGUGAUUUUUAUGAUAUUUUAAUAAAGGGGACUUCAAUGACUGUAGCCUUAGUAGGGUUCACGCACUUUACAGCAUCAAUAACUUACAGUAAUUUAGUAGGGACUUGCAGGAUAUAAAACAAUGCUAGGGGAAGAUGGCUUUAUUGAAUCCUUCUUCUGUGGCCAAAGAUUCUUUUAAGUAUCCAGUUUCAUUGAAAACACUAUUCACUUGUCCAUCCUUCAUACUUUCAUUUUUGCACAGGAAAGGAACCUUGUUCAAUAAUCUUGGUGAAGUGAAUUAGUAGAUAACACUUGUUUUAUUGCAAAGAAAACAUUCUUUUCUUCAGUUAACUUCUUAAAAACUGGUUUUAUGACUCGACCAGAAAAGCAUUUUGUAGUUUAAAACAUGUGCCUAAGGACACUGCUCACAUGUUGUUGGCUUGGUGUUCGUAUAAAUGAAUAUACCCAGUUCUGCUCUUGGUCACAGCCUCCUAAAAAUCCCAGUACAUUUGCAGUUAUUGUAACAGAAUUAGCUUUGCAGGGCUGGGAUGGAGAGCCUAGUUUCAGUUACUGUGCCCUAACAUCCUUUCUGGACAUGGUGGGCAAUGUUAUAAUGUCACAUUGACUUCAUCCUGGUGUCUGAAGACGUAUAUGACAGUGAGCUCCAUCUUUUUAUCUCAAUUUACAUGUUUGGUAACUCCCUGCCUUUGGAAUCUCUUUAUCAAUCUUGUCUCAAUUUAACAAAGAGAUAACGCUAUUAUUUUUAUAAAAAUAAAAAUCCAUGUAGAGACGUGAGGCCCCUUUAUAGAUCUCACUGUUAUGAAGGCUCUGGUUGCACUCACCUUUUUUUUGUUUAUCACGUAAUCUACAUGAGACAUCUUCAAACUAACGCUCGUGAAAUUAGUUCAUGUUACUUCAGCUUCUCACAUGGCUCCUUGUUUUAUGAUUCCCUUCAUCACUUGGUUUAAAAAAGAUAAUAGGAAAACACAAAUAAGCAAGCAAAAUAUUUUCCAUGGGCAUAUUAUUCUGAGAUAUUUGACAUACAUCCUCAUCUAUUUUGGAUCAUUUUUAUUAACUUCAGUAAUAAUUCAAUUUUCUUUAGAACCUGCAGACUUUUAGGAGGAUUUUUGGUGAUAAUACCCUCUAAAUUCAACUGAAUUUGGCUAGGGAAUUCUGAAGCUUAUAAACCCAGUGUUAGUCUCCUGGAAUUCUUUCCAUUCUCAUUGUUGUCACAAGACAUUUUUUUACAUUGCCAUUACAUAACUUAAAUGAAGAACAUAGGUCUAGUCAUAGUCAUCAUCAAUUUUCUGAUUAUAUAGAGAAGGGAAAAAUGCUGGAGCAUUAACAAUUUUUAAAAGUACAUUUAAAUCAUUAUUCAUUUAUAGGGUUGCAUUAUUUUCUGAAUAAUGCAGCACUGCAGAUGGAUGAUUCACAGCGAUGUAAAGUCUUUUGUAGUCAUUUAGAGCCUCAUUAUAUGAAUAUAUCACUCACUGUUUCCACCCACAGACACUUCUUGAAAUGAUGAGGCAAAAUCAUUAUCAUGCAGAUGAAAGGGAGUGCCUACCAAAACAAAUAAAACAACAAUUUUAAUUAGGCUAAUGUAUUUAAAUCCCCACAAGGUUAUAAAAGCACACUUCCAGCCGUUUCUAAGACAAAUGGAUCAGGGCUCAAUUCUUCCCACUUUGAAAAAGGAAGUACAUCCAACUGCAGCACCAACAGUGAUCACAGCUCUCCUUAAUAUGAAUCUCUGGUAAGUCAGCAGCAAGAAAACAGCGUAUCCAAGUUGAUUGAAGAAUAUGCAGAUUUCGCAGCCUAAGUCUUAUUUUGGCAUGUAAAUACAUUAAGAAGCAAAAUGAAAUCCGAAACAGAACAGUAAUGACAAAGUGUAAGAACCUAGGGGCACUUGCAGACCCAAGAAACCACAAGGGGGUGGAGAUUUGGCUCCCAGCUGCUGAAUCUUCUGUUGUUUUGUUUUAUUUCUAUUUGAUUAGUGGAGGGAUUACUUCUCUUUACUUUUUUUUUUUUUUUGCAUUGAUUUAUUUCGCCUUUGUUUUCUCUUUGGCAAAUAUAAUAAUCUUUUGUUAGAGAUAGGAGCAUGUUAUUAAUGGAAGGAUUUGCCUGUUGGGAGAGGCUAAAGGGCUUCAUGAACCAGAAGCAAUGCAUUUGGUUUCAUGAACAUCCCCAAGGAUAAGAUAAGAGAUGAGCAUGUCCAGGUGAAGUACAACAACAGGCUUUGACCAAAAGAAAGAAAAAAAUGGUAAAUUUCAUAUGAAGAUCUUUUAGAUCUUUAUGAGUUAUUUCAUGAACCAUUUGUUUGUUUUCUUUAAUAUUUUUGUGUGUGCAGUUAAUCAUUUUUCACACUCAAACUAUGAAAAAUAGGAAUCUCCAUGCAAUUACCUUUGGCAACACUUGUUUGAAAGCAAUUUUAUGUUUCUGGCAGAUUUUGUUCAAUUGUGUAAAUUUUCUGAAGAGAUGAAGCAUUUAAUUCCUUUAUAUUUAGCUAACAGUUCACCAUGUCUUCCUGUCACAAAGGUACUUAAAUUGUAAAAAAAGCUCAAUGCUCAGAAUCUGCCAUAGUCUCUUCUUUCAUGGCUAUAUUUAAUCUGACACAAAACCUGUAUUCACCUGUUUGCAAGAUUUCAAGACUUCUCUUGUACUUUCUCUCCAAUCUCUCUCAGUCUUUUUUUGAUUGAGAAUUGAGGCAUGAGCAGUGCUGGUGGUCAUAAGGGUUAGAUUCCUAACCACUGACAGGAGAUGGGUAUUCAGGAGGCUGGACUCUGCUACUGGAAACAAGGGCAAAAAACGUGUUUGUUUGCUGAAGGUACUGCAAUAAUCCUGAACAUAAAUGCUCCUGUUUUUAUCAGUUUGGUACGAAUACAAAUUGGGUCUCAUUUGGAAACUGUGCAUCUAGCAAAAGCUGUAGCUUCUGGCCAUUAAAGGCACCAUUAAGGGAAAUGUAAUAUUCUAUGUUCAAAACCAUUUCCUAUAUCGGGAAGUGAACUAGAAAUUAUUUAAUUUAGAUAGUCCAUUAAUUAUGCUGUGAACUAACUUUCACAGCCUCAAUUUCUCUCUGGAUUGUCCUUUGCUAGGCAGAAGGUCCAUUACUACCCCACACUUCCACUCCUCUCUCCCUUCAAAGCCCACUGUGGAGCCACGGCGUCUUGCAUGAAAAGUCUCCUGCUGCAGGAGUUGUUUCCUCUGAAUUACAAAAACUUUGUGCAAUUUUUGGUCCCUCCUGAUGAAUAGAAUAUCACCCGAAGGGUCGUUCCUGCAAUACACCCAGGUACUGCUAUCUGCUGGUGUGCAGCAGCUGCAGAAAAGGCUACCUCCAGGUCCACGUACAUGAAAGGCAAUCAAGAAGCUUUACACACAUGAUUGAUGUUAAGAGAGGCAAAGCUCUUAGGGGCAUUCUUGAUAAGGUAACAUUUUAAGAUCAGGAAAGAUCAAAUCUACGCUAUUACUGUAAAACGUGUUAAAAGGAAAUAAUGCAGGCUUACUGGAAAUAGCUAUUGAUACACUUGUUCUGAACAUUAUAAUACAUAGGACACAUGGUCUCUGUGGUGUUAGCAUCAGCUACCUCAGAUUACUGAAUCUGGAAAAUCUCAGUUGCUGCAUAAACAAGAUUAUUAUUGCUCCUCCAAAAUUAAUCAAGUGUGCACAAAUCAAAAGCGAAACAUGAGAAUGUAAAUGAUGCAGAAGGCCACUAAUAGCAUAAAAAUUUGCAGCUUAGUGCUUUGCUUGGAAACCACAGCCAAACAGACAGCAGAUUGAUCUCCCCACGGAAAGGCAGGUUAUAGAGAAGUUAUAUUUCUAUUACACAGCAUUUGCAUAGAAAUGAUUGCUUCCUAUGGGGCUUGAUGUACAAAGACAGGAAGAGAAGGAGGAACUGCAACUUUAAAACAUCAUGGUACCAUCAUUAUUUUUUUAAACAUAGAAAGGAGAACUUGUUAUACCCAUGUGCUAUGGUAACAAUGGUGUCAGUAUGAAGAUAAGCUCAGUUGUAAUCACCUGGAAGUAACGCAUGUUAAUCACUUGCUGCUUACCAAAAACUAAUAAUGGUUGGUGAUGGACUAAGGAAAAAAAAAAGUGUACUUUUAGUUCUUAAGGCAAUCUGAACUUGUUUUUACAUCCUUGAUGAAAUAUGCAGUAGAGAAGUCAGGAACAGAACACGAUGCUUUCACACUCACUUAUCUCCUAGGCAUAUUUUAGGCACAUGAGCAAGAAAACACUAGAAAGCUUUAAAAAUGCUGCUCGUAAGGAAUUAAAAUCAUUAGACACAUUUCUGACAGGGUUCAUUAAGUAUAGAAAUGCUCUCUGGGAACAGAGAAUUCCUUAAUGGAGUUCACUGAGAUCUGGGCAAGGAUGCUGAAAAAGUCCUGUUGAGGUGAGUGGCAGUGAGAUGGUACCAGUGUCCUAGCACAGCCUGGAACAGCCAGGACAUCCCUAUAGCUUUGAGGUGGUGGAUAGAACAGUAAGCUUCAAGCAUCUUUGUCCAAGAGCAGGUUGGUCUUUGGAACAUCAUAGACAAAGAUAAAAUGAGAUGGUUUUGCUAAUGGACAUGCUUUUCGUGGUGGAUUUUAAAUCUUGUAGUUCAGAUUGGCUUGCUUAGCUUUUAUCUGUGAUUGCUCAUGCUUGUUUCCUAAUUGCUCCUUGCCCACUGGAGAAUGCAGCUACAUGUUUUAUAAACCAAAUGGGAAGCAGCAGUCAUGGCAGGGCAGCUGGAAGGCAGGCCAGGUGAUUCGAUGAUUCAGCACAGUCACUUUCCUAAUGGAGAGUUGACAGGCAGGGUGAUUGAUCGUGUGAAUUUCUUGAGAAGCAUAAUCUGCUGGCAUGAGCUGAAUACUUUAUGGACCUGAGACAGAAGCAUAUUUCCCCACACUGAGGAGAUUUUAAAGAGGAGGAGAAUAUUCUCAUUGCAAUUUUUGUCAUCAGGACAGAUACUUUCUCUUUUUCCAUUCUGAUUAAAAACUCUAUCAAAAAGAAGCAGUUUGGAAUGUGAAUGCACAUUUCUUACAAUUCACAAUGUUUAGGGUGUAAGAAUCUGAUUUUUCUACUGCUCUGUGAUUUGGCCAGCUUAUUACUAUUUCUUCAAGUUACCAUUCAUUUUCCACCUUGCAAAGAGACGUAAUUAAGAAAGAAUUACAUUUGCUCACCAUUUCUUUCAGCAGUACAGGUCAGACAUGUCCUACUGUACCAAUGAAGUUAAGUAGCAUUAACCAUACCAUUGCUCAUGUUGGAAAAGACCUUAAAGAUCAUCGAGUCCAACCACAACCUAACCAUACUACCCUGACUCUAACAACACACUGCUAUUAAUCACUAGGUGAACUUACAAAGCAGCCAUUUCUUUUUUUGGUGUUUAUUUUUCUCAAGUUCAUGAAAACGAACCAUGCAAGGCUGAUUUCAGACAAGAAAAUUAGUGAUUGAAGCAGAAACUCGCUGCAGUGGAGGCUUUGCAAGAUGCCCAAGUGUUGGCUGCAAUUUUAAAAUAGCUGUUUUCAACAACUUAAUGGUCUCUCCACUCCAACAGCAUCCUUCUCCUUGCUGAAUAUCUCAGAUAAAUUUAAUGCAUUCUGUAAAUACCUUCUGACAUACUUUUCAAUUUGUUAGUGUUCCUUUUCAUAAUUCUCAUAAUUUAUGCAGCCAUUGUGCAGAGUGCAAAGUAUAUAUCCAUUAACAAAGUAUCUCCAGUGACAUAUUGUCCUAACCUCUGAGUAUGGCUAGGAUGAAAUCCUCUCCCUAGCUGACAUUUAUAUUAAACUAUUUGUGAUAUUUAUUCGUGAAUAUAAGUCCUGAAUAAAAUCAAUUCCAGUUUAGCUAUAGACUUUCUGCCUUAGAAGCCACAAUAUCCUGAUAAAAACCUAUAUCCAGGGAGGAGAUUAUAGAUUACAUGCACCUGUUUUUGAGCUUGCCAGGUUUGUCAGAUCUAAGUACUGUAAGUUAAUGUAAAAUACUACCAACGUCCUCCGUGGACAGAAUUUUUAUUAAUAGCAUAGAAGAAAUGCUGUGAAGCUUAGUUUAUCUCGCAGCAAUCUGGUGUGUCCUCUCCUCAGUCCUUAUGAUUUGGCAGAGAAAAACUUGUUUUAUAGGGGUUCUCCAGGUGUGAACAGACUGCUUUUGGAUUUCAUUGGCCAAAAACACUUUAAUAACUUCUUAUUCUUGUUGAUGCUGUCAUACUAACACUUCUGCGUGAUAAGGAGAGAACAAGGCAGGCAGAAUUGCUGUACCUCUAGUGUCAGGAAGUGAAAAACAGAGUUUGCUGUCCAGCAUUGAGGCUGGCCUGGAGACCAGUCCCUGCUGGUAACUGAAUAGAAGGUUUGCUGUGUGAACUGGUGGACAUUCAAAAGUCUGAAGCUACUUCUGGAGGUGGCUUUCCUGGUUUCUACUUUACAUUAAAGUUCCAGGAUGGGUCAGGAAAGGCAGAACAAGCUGCAUCCAGAGACAUCAGCUCCACACUGGGAGCACCUUCAGCCACAGUCACAUCAGAGAGUUAUUCCUGCUUCGUGCUUACCAGUUUUACAGACUAUAUUUGGUAAAGAAGUAAGAGAAACUUUUUCCCAUAGGCGGACUUAAUUCUCUACAGCUCUGCCUGCAGCUUCUCGCAAGUGGCAUUUACUCACAUUCAAACAAAUGAACUAUCUUGGUCAUUCCCACACUGUCUUUUCCUAAUCAUCCAACAGCAGUUUCCCAGGGCCAUACCUGCAGGAGGACAGGCUCUGCCGCCCUAGGCGCCAUGCCCAGCUUUUACAACUGAUGAAUUGGUCUCCUGAGGACUGGUAUCAGUGCUGGCACUGGCCAACCUGUAUUCAGGGAUAGUUUAUUGUCCGUAACCUGUCCCCUGGCACAAAUAGGAAAAAUCUGCAGUCUUACUCUUAUGGGAUCCUGUGGGCUCGUCAAGGUAUGCUAAUUCUACGGCUGUGUUGCAAGGCACCUCAAAAAGCUGUGGUUGUGAUGUGACAUUUCUUUUCCCUUGAUAGCCAUUGUAAUACACAAAGAAUCGUGCUCCCUACAGAGGCAGCCACAAGAAAAUACACCCAAGAGUCUGGUGACAGCAUUACAGACAAAAGGUAUAAUGAAAUUCACAGCAGGUGCUCACUUAAAAAAAUGAAUUGAAUAACCAUUAUAGUUUACAGACCAAACUCCUGGGUGUGUCUGUAACACGAUGAAAAACACAAUGACAGCAGAGCAGCAAGAUCCCAGGCCACAGCAAGUGAGGAUUCACUCAAAUGCAACAGCAGCAUGUGAAGAAAUAAGAGAAAGAAGAAAGAAGAAACUUACUUUCAGAAGGCCUCAGGCACAUGGAGAUUUCCAAAAGCCUUGCCUCCCCUGCCAACCCUUAAAUAAGGUCUGGGAAGGGAUGCAUGCUGGCUCCAUUGCAUUGCAUGCACCUGAGCUCUGGGUUGGCCCUGCCUUCCUACCAGGUGCUCAAUCACUGCUUCAAGCCCUGGCUUAGCAUUUCCACCACAGUGUCCACGUCCAGAGGGAAUCUAAACAGUAGUAUCUCAUAACUUGUGCCUUCACUUUGUCCCCUCCAUGCAUACAUGAUGUCAACUUUGAGUUUUGUAUAUCUUGAUGGGCUCUCUCUCACCAACACGUAGCCAGUAAUGUUGCACCCCUACACUAAAAGUCAUCUAUCUGUGCCUGCAUUUAAAAGGAGCAUAGUUGUAGGGCAUUUAGCAUGAGGGUUAUAUGUUUUGAAAGCUUAAAUUGGUGAUUUUUCACAUACCUUAAACACCACUCCGUGACAUGAGCCCCAUGGCACUUUAGCACUUGCCUAAUACUCACAACCCCUCUGGUCUGGAGUUAGAGAGAAAUGUGAAAUGUUGUAAUUUAGCCUUAAAUCUCAAGGUUUCUAAUUUCAACCACUUCAUCUUCUGAAUUUAUUUCCCCUUAUAACAUCUCUUCAGAAUUCAAUGAGGAAGCUCACAGGCAGAUAACAAGAAUGAUCCAUCAGUUUGUCAGGCUGGGAAACAACAUUCUGUUUGGGAGGUGAAGUCACCAUGUAUAUGGUCUAACAAAUUAGAUAUUAUUCAGUGAACUCAGGGAAUUUAGUUAUUGUAGUAGAGCAUUUCGGAGGGACCACCUUCUGCAGAUUCAUGGCUGUGAAAGCUUCUUUUUGUUUCCCUGCCCCAAUAGAUUAGGGGAAAAAUGAAUGAAAAGAGGUUUUUCGAUGAGACAUUCAGGGGCAGGAGGUAUGGCAGGGGACAGGUGGGAGCAGGGAAAGCACCUGACUUCUCCAUUGUGACAGAAGGUUGGGCUGUGACUGCUUUAGACAUACUGGUGAUCCCAAGUGACCUGAACCAUCUUCUACCUGGCAUCAGCAAAAAUCCUUAAGAAAUCAGUGUUUCCAACCAAUCUGUAUUUGCCUAAUGCUUACUUUUCUCUUGGAUGUAUUAAUGAAUCUGCUUUUUGCCUUGCUCUGAUUGUUUGAAGCAGUCAUGGUGGAAGAACCCUCUGCAUCACUGUAUCAUCUAAAAAUGCAGGAAAAAAACCAGCAAACUUAGAUAUUUGGCUUCUCCAUUUGCUCAGGGAAUUCCCAGCCACAACCGACUGGGACAGGUUUGUCAGCUGCACUUAUGCUGAGUUUUUCUGAUAGUCUGAGAAGCACCAAAAGAGAGACUUAACAUUUCCAACCAACUCUCUUGAGCGCCUAAAAAGGCUUAAACUGCAGAGCUCCAGGUGAGGCAAAGCAUGAACCCAUUCCUGGAAAUGACGGAUUGGCAAGUGGUCCAUCAGAAACAUCUGAAGUGGGAAUGUGGUUAAACAUUUUUGUAAGAUGAGAUACAAUACGCAUAGUUCAAUACCUACGGUAGCUUUCUGAAAAGUGAAAUGAGAUUUAAUGUUUUCAUUUGUUUACUUACAUGUUUAAAGCAAUUUAUUUUUAAAGUGGCUGUAGCACACAUCUCUGCUUGCUGAUGUAAUUUUCUUAAAUUGCUGGCUGGUUUUGCAAGCCCAUGUCUUCACGUUUUUUCUUUCCACUUUAUAUUUCAAGUCUAUGUAGAAAAUUACCCAUGAACUGAAGUUAUCUUCUCUGGAACUUACAACUGCUGUGUCUUCACUCUGGCAAAGAACAGCAAAGACUUUUCCCUUUUAAAUGAAUGAGAGAAGUCAUCAUAAAAGAUUUAUUUCUGCUGCCCCAUUUUUCUUAUUUACUCCUAACAUUCUACCCAUUUGCCAUGAGCUUCUUCACAUUUACAAAACAGCCAGUCUUCUGCAAGGACAAAUUGUGCUAUUUACUUCUGUUCUCGGAGGAAACUAAUGGUGCAGCGGGUGAAAUGUCCAGGACAAUAAGGAGAACCGGUGCUGUGUAUCCCUAGCUGGAGAAAUAUAUCUUAAGUAAAUUGCUCUCAGCUGAAAUCAUGGAAUGUCAUGGAAGCAGAAAGUGAUCUGUAUUCUGCUCUUUGUGUUUCUUAAGCUCAGAGCCUGCCCGUGGGGAGGAAAAGGAAGGCCUGGGCAUCACUAUGUAAAUCAUUCACUUUUGCAGGGGGGAAUGGCAAAAGGAAAAUGGAUUUUUAUUGUAUUUUUCAAAUGCAGUGUUUACUCUUUGUUGUUAAUAUAUUUCUCUGUUUUAAAUCAAGAAGGAAAGAGCAAAUUAUAAAGGAAAAAAAAGUAAGCCAGUGGAAAUUGCAAGUAUAUCUGUGCUGUCAACAGCUUAGCUCCCCAAUUGGUCCAAGUCCCAGUCCUCCACGCUUAUCAGUUAAUAUUCUUGGGCUUGCUCAGUAAGGCUUAGCUUGUUUCGAAGUACACUAAAAUCCAGGUUUUUUUUCCUUCUCUUUGCUGGCUGACUCUGUGUUGUCCCGCACUGUCCCAAUGCUCUUAUUGGCACGCUCUGUUCUGGUUUACACCUGCUCGGAGCUGCUCUGCUCAGCCCCUGCAUUUCAGAAGUUCUCCAGACUGAAAACUCACCGUCUCCAAUUCUUAGAAACACAGAGAGGAGAUCUAGAAAAUGUAUAGCCCAGGUCAGGGACUGUGACAUGGUGGCUUCAAGUGGCCACCUCCAAACCACUGUGCCCACAGCAAGGAUACAGACCAGGAGAUGUUCACACCAGUAGCCAGCACAAAGUGGGGUCACAGAUGGAUCUGUACAAAUUCCAGUCCUGCUCCUUACCGGGCCAGGUCUGAAGCACACUGAAGUCGAAAGACAUCUUCAAAUGCUCCUUCAGUCUCCAGUAUGCAGAGAUGACAUUGCUGCCUGGAGCCUGCCUGGUUCAUUCUGUAGCUUUGAAAGGGUAUUUUUAGAUUUGAAGAUAGAAACAUAAAAUGAUAAUUUCAAAGGUGCGUAGGUGCAGUAAGGCUCUUCCUGCAAUGUUUCAGCAGUGCUGAAAAGUCAUAUUCAAAAACCUCAUUAGGUACCUCCACGCCUUUGAAAUUCAGGCUUUUAGAGUUGCUAUGUGUAUUUAACAUGAUUAGAAACGUCUCCCAAAUGAUCUUUUCCUACACUUCCUUUGCACAUUGCAUAAUUUCAUUUGACAUUUUGUUGACAGUCACUGGUAUAUUCUCGUGUUGAGUCUGGGAGCAGGUGAAUCUUGAUUAGGAAUUUGCCAUUUCCUUUGCAAAUACGUACAUCUGUAUGCUAACAUAAUACGACUCUUGAUGUCUCUGAUAUAUAAAGAGUUCGAUAAACAGGAUAAUUUCCAUCACGAACAUGGUUAUUAUCCGAAUCUUAUUUUUUUUAAUUGUAGGUAUGAGUUGUGGCUGUAAGGAGAUUUUGACUGAACCAUUUCUGGUUUCUGUUUCCUUGCAACGUUCCUUGCAAGAUGAAUAAGUUGUGUGGUAAGAAUAAGACGUACUUUCCAAAGAGCAGAUGCUCUGUAAGCCUAGUGUGGAUUGCCAGGAUUUGAGUGCAGGCCAGGCAAAAUUCAUUUCCUAAAUCCAAAUAGAAUUCUGGAUGACUUAUAGUAUCAGGAUGUAUCUUUGAGAGAAGUUUAAAAGUUGAGGAGCUUGAGUUUUGCUUGAGAAAAGAAAACCUGAAUCAACAGCUUUUAUGGGUGGGUAUUGAAAAGGGAAAAACUUGGAGUUCUGAAGGCCACAUUUCUGCCUGCCCCGUCUGGGAAAUGGGGCGCAAUGGGGCAGCUGGAGCCUGGCAGCUGGCUGAGUUCUUUUCCUCUCUUGGGCUCAAACACACAACUGCGAUGUGUCAGCAAUUAGAUCUCUGUUAAUUUAAUGAUUUUCUUCACCUAACUCUAUGUAAGUAACUGAAAGAAAGAGAAACGGAGCACUACACUGAGUGGACAGGCCCACUCUAAACACAGAAAGUGUCACCUUUUGUUGAAACAGGAGCUUCUUUUGUGACUUCUGUGAUAAGAAUAUAACAACUCCUAUUUUUCACAGGUUUUCUGUUCAAAUUAUUUACUAUUUGGAGCAAAGGCUGUCAUUUGUUAUGCAUUUGAACAGUUAUUCCUGUAAUUGAGUCUUUGAAUAGUUUAGGGGGUUAUUUAGAACAUAAAUCAUAACUAUGCAUUAGGCAGAGGGAAGAAAAGGUUUUAUUUAAUUUUGCAUACCCACAGACCUGUAAAAUUAAACAAAUUGCAGAAGAAAACCAGCACAAGCCUUCUUCUGAUAUUACAGUGCAGCAAACAUGCCAUCUGUUACCAGCGCUCUUCCUAUCCACUCAUGAAUCCCAGAGCACAUAAGAAAAAUGGUCUUUGUGAGACCCUCCGAGAAAUAUGUACCACCAGCUUGAGAAAUUGAAUCAGGAUAAUAUUAGAAUGUGAAGAUUCUGCCAUGGAAAUCCAGUUAUGAUCUCUUACAGGAUUUAUUAUUGUUGCCUUGAGAACUUAGUGUGGAAGCAAGCCCUUCCCUAAGAGCUCAGUUAGCCUGGUUGGCGGUCUUAAUGUAAACACCACCGAGAACUUCACUUUUAUUACUUCUGUUUCUUCCUUUCUUUUUGUAGUAUUGCUUUUCCUAGUGACCUUUAUGGAACUCUCCAUAAAAAUGCAGCAGAUCUUGCUGACCCUAACAACUCAGAGGAAACAUUUAAUCAUACAACAUCAGACUAUUGUUUGCAUGGAGUUGACUUGAAAUAUUUGAUAUCAACUCUUCAAAAAUAAGGACAACGAUACUCUAUGCUUUGAGGAAUGGAGAUCAAUUUUUUAACAUUUUUGUGUAAGUAUAGACCUUCUCCAUGCACGUUAUACGAUGAGACAUCUGAUUGAAUUUUACUUAUCAAGAAGUAGGAUAUAGUUUCUGAAUGUCUCCUUUCAUUUGAAGUUAUGAAGUGAUAAGAUCAACUGAUCCUUGUGUUGCUAGGUGAUACCAAACCACCCCAGACAGCUAGUGGCUGGCUUCAUGCUAAUCUAAACUAUUUUCAUUAGCUUUUCUAACAAAACAAAAGUCUUAAAAAUGUCUUCAUAUUUUACUUUUUGAAAAGAAGUACUUUGAAAUGAAGCAGUGGGGAAGUAAAAAAUAGAAACAAAUUUGCUUUCAAAUGUUGAAACAAAAUAAAACACUUUGAUGUCUUCUAAAACCUU
Molecule: long non-coding RNA, 44100 nt
Organism: Gallus gallus (chicken)
Lineage: Eukaryota; Metazoa; Chordata; Aves; Galliformes; Phasianidae
Exons: 22
Source: RefSeq, a predicted model, not a curated record